AUGGGGGGAACCCUGAUCCAGCCAUGCCGCGUGUGUGAAGAAUGCCUUUUGGUUGUAAAGCACUUUAAGCGAGGAGGAGGCUACUCUAGUUAAUACCUAUGGGAUAGUGGACGUUACUCGCAGAAUAAGCACCGGCUAACUCUGUGCCAGCAGCCGCGGUAAUACAGAGGGUGCAAGCGUUAAUCGGAUUUACUGGGCGUAAAGCGCGCGUAGGUGGCCAAUUAAGUCAAAUGUGAAAUCCCCGAGCUUAACUUGGGAAUUGCAUUCGAUACUGGUUGGCUAGAGUAUGGGAGAGGAUGGUAGAAUUCCAGGUGUAGCGGUGAAAUGCGUAGAGAUCUGGAGGAAUACCGAUGGCGAAGGCAGCCAUCUGGCCUAAUACUGACACUGAGGUGCGAAAGCAUGGGGAGCAAACAGGAUUAGAUACCCUGGUAGUCCAUGCCGUAAACGAUGUCUACUAGCCGUUGGGGCCUUUGAGGCUUUAGUGGCGCAGCUAACGCGAUAAGUAGACCGCCUGGGGAGUACGGUCGCAAGACUAGAACUCAAAUGAAUUGACGGGGGCCCGCACAAGCGGUGGAGCAUGUGGUNNAAUUCGAUGCAACGCGA
RNAcentral lists this ribosomal RNA (603 nucleotides) under bacterium T-2-0-8C. RNAcentral's name for it is "bacterial SSU rRNA". It matches the Rfam family "Bacterial small subunit ribosomal RNA", at positions 371 to 964 of the family's 1533-position model. The record is from RNAcentral.